This is a long non-coding RNA of Oxyura jamaicensis (ruddy duck), 985 nucleotides long. RefSeq lists it as uncharacterized. Lineage: Eukaryota; Metazoa; Chordata; Aves; Anseriformes; Anatidae. The record is from RefSeq and is a predicted model, not a curated record. The transcript is spliced from 2 exons.
UACUUGGGUGUUGCAGAACCAGAGAAACUUGCUGUUUUCUGCAGAAACCUUUCUCUGGAGUUUAAGCAUGCGGCUCCUUCUUAGAGCCUGGUGGAGAUGACGGCAGAGGAGCCGGUGAGCCUGAUGGAGGAGAGGCAAGGAGGGCUCCCAUCAGGAUGCUGAGCCCCACAGCCUGACUGACAUGGGCCGAAGACUUGCGAGCAUCUCAGCUGGGGAGGUGACUGCUUGCUGGCAGGUUUGCAUUCAGACAAGCUGCCUUUCUUCCUGGAGAUGCACUUGCAUCCCAGCUGGCCGUUAGAGAUGUCAAAAUGCAUUAGCUUCACUUAGGUGAGGCUACAAGAGCCCUCCCAGGAGCCAGGCUGCCAGCACAGGAGCGAGCUGGCUUGCACCCUGACCCUCAACACCACAACAGGGAGGCAAAAGCUUCCCCCGCGCAGUCGCUGCAGUUCUCGCGAUGAUCUCUGCCUUCGCCAGCAGAAAAAAGCUGGAGAACGUCCACCCUGCAGGAUCAUAGUGAGGUUUGGCAGCAAACUGCAAAGCAGCUCCCAGCACCUCGAGGAAAGCCAGGAGAGAGGGGGCUCCUUCCUGCAGCUCAAAAAGAGGUGCCAGGGGUUUGCUUGCAGCCUCCUGGGGAGCCAGUGUGGAGAUGGGGCUCAGCUCCAAAAUCAGUCAGGAGCACUUGGUAACUGCCCAGCUAGAGCCAAACCCACUUCCCCGUGCUUCAGCCCAGCUCGGCACCACCUCGCCGCCUCCGAGGACAGCUUUGGCAGCAGCUCCCCAGGCAAGGUGCCCCCCUGCAUGCCGCAGACCUACGGCAUCUUCGGGCGUCCCUGGGCACCCCGCAGCCCCCCAGCGCAGCCCCGCUGCCGGCAGAGGGCAGCGGCAGCCCAGGAAUUGCCGGCAGGAUCCGCUCCCCGUCCCUCCGCACCCUAUUUCAGUGGUUUUCCUCCGCUGCGCGAGGAAAUGCACGGGUUUAAUAAGUAAU